Mytilus californianus (California mussel) is the source of this 923-nucleotide long non-coding RNA. RefSeq lists it as uncharacterized. The record is from RefSeq and is a predicted model, not a curated record. NCBI's taxonomy places the organism in Eukaryota, Metazoa, Mollusca, Bivalvia, Mytilida, Mytilidae. The transcript has 3 exons.
UUCACCCUGAUUCAUUUGUGAGACCACCGACACUAAUAAUAUUACCUCAAAGUUAGAGGUUCUCCGUUACUGGGAACUUCAUAUCGGAUCCGAUCAAUUUAUUGGUUCCAUUCCCCCUAGUAAUAAUGAUCCAUUUGCAGUGACGAUGACAAUCUAAAAGUUUAGGGCAAGAAAUAUAGAAAAUAAAGAAAAAUAUAAACAAUUACAACUGUACAGUAGAAAUGAUCGGCAAAACAAGAUAAACAGAAGACAACAAGGCCUAAAUGGUGAGACUUCUUGGUUUUCAUGAUCAUCAACAGGUCAAUACAGAAGAGGAAACUUAAGGUUAAUACUUUUCUACAUUGUGUGCUAAUUGGAUUAAUGUGAAAUGAAAUGUGUGCUUACCUGGAAAAAGAAAAUAGGAAAUAUCUACAAAAUGGCUGUAAACAAAAUGGAGUACAAUCAUAGAUGCACAAGAACACAAUUGUGUAAUUGCAACAACCUACAUAUUCACUGAAGGAUUAUGGAGAAAUGUAGAAAAAAUAGUAUUUUGUUGUCGAAAUAACACCUGCUUUAUCCAUUCAUGUACAUAGCUCUGUCAUAUCAAAUAUACAGAGGCAGAUGUUUGAAGAACAAAUUUCAAAAAUGUAUUCUCUACCAAUUGAAGGAAGAUGUCUGGUGGAAGGAAUUAUUUAUGCACUGAACUGUUAUGUAGGGGAUUGAAUAAUUGUACGCAGCAGCUUAAACAGAAGAAAAGUUAAAUUAACAUGAAAAGUGGUUAUUUUAUUUAAAAUCUGCAAAAAUGAGCACAAUAUUAAUAACAUCACAAAUAGUAUGAUAUUCAUAGCGUUUUGCUUAUUAUUGUAUUGUCUCAAACAGCUAACCUAUUGUUUUUGUAUGUCAUGUUACUCAUCAGUGAACAUUUUAUUAAAGUUUUAAUUAUC